This 2702-nucleotide long non-coding RNA is filed under the name Citrus maxima (pomelo). Its description in RNAcentral is "long non-coding RNA (CMAX_LNC003357)". The record is from RNAcentral. Lineage: Eukaryota; Viridiplantae; Streptophyta; Magnoliopsida; Sapindales; Rutaceae.
GCAAACGAUGGAUUACAUAUGGAUUGGGUCUUAUUUGCAUCUGAUCCGUAAAAAUAUGAAUUGGAUUUCGAUUCAGUUUCAGUAAUCAGUGGAUUUAAAUACAUAAGAUGGUCUCUGUUUAAAGAAACAUGAAAAACUUAGUCUUGUGUAUGGUUUUGUCCAAAUCACAGCUGCUUUGUAGUUUUGAGCAGCAUAGUAGCAGAAUGAAGAUUUCUAGCUUCAGAUCGUCAGAAUUCUUUUCAUCAACCAGUCCCAGAUGAGGUUAACAAUGCCCUGCCUCUCUCAGCUAGCUUCAGGCUCUUACUAAAUUGGUGUGCACUCUGACAAAAUAAAUAAGAAGAACACGAUCCAAAUCUUGUGUUAGUUUCUAUAUGCCUUGAUCUAAUAAAUCAAGCACAAGAAUACUGCAGUUCAAAUGCUGGUUAGUGUUAGCUCCAACAGUUUUUGCAUUUCAGAAUCAUACUAUUUACCAAUGCAAAAAUGAUAAGCAGGAGGACAUGUUUUUCUCAAUUACUGAAGUACACAUAACAAACUAUUUUCAGCACAAAAUACAAUCUUCCAUUUAAACAGUAUAGGGGGCAUUGAAUGACUUGAAGUUUCAUAUAAAGGCUGGAUUUUUUUAUUUUAGCAAGAAGAGUGUCAAACCUGUGUUCAAGAUUGAAGAGAUUGAAUAUCCCUAUGAUUCACCAUUUGUUAACAAAUGGCAGAAAAGUGAAAAUGGCAAAAAAGUGAAGUUUCAUAUAAAGGCUGGAUUUUGUUAUUUUAGCAAGAAGAGUGUCAAACCUAUGUUCAGGAUUGAAGAGAUUGAAUAUCCCUAUGAUUCACCAUUUGUUAACAAAUGGCAGAAAAGUGAAGCCAGCAGGCCCAGCACACACCCAUUCGAAAUUGAAAAAUGCAAAUCAUUGUUCCUUACAUCAAUAUGAUAGAAUGUUUGGAGCUUAAAUCAUUAAAAAUCAAAUGAUUACAAACGGAGGAUUAUUCUAAAAAGUAUUUUAGAACCAAGAAAAUUGCAAACAUAGCUAGCAAGUAUAUAGCUACAAAAAGGUAUUCCACUUCAGGUUAAUAAUGAUUGCAGGCGAGAAGUUUUAGGAUAAAUAGUAAGUUCAUUGCAAAGAACCAAAAAAAAUGGGGAGCCGAAUCUCCAGUCUAGGAAAAUAUACAUGGGAGCAUUAAAAAAUGACAAUAAGAGUUAAUAUCUAAACUAUAACUUACCAAUAAACUCUAAAGAUCCCUGAAAAUGUAGAGCAAGAUAAACUGCAUACCACUAAAACAGAUCUACAAGAUCCACACUUGAUACUAGAUGCAUAUCUAAACCCUCAAAAAUCCACAAUUCUUAUCAAGCCAUGCACGCAGAGGCACAUUUGAACUAUCAUCCACACAAGAAAAUCAAACCUCUUCCUUCAAUUCUCAUCCGAUUUGAAUACAAGUCCGUCCACGUUUGUAUGACCCAACAAAUAUCCAAAACAGAAAGAAAAUGAAGAAGAAAAAGAAGCAUAGACCUUCAACACAAUUGGAUUGAGAAGAUGACGAGAAAUGAUGUACAAAAUCAAUGGUUUCCCCAUCAUGUUUCAAAUAUAACGCAGAGUAAUCACAAAUUGCUUACUCUUUACUAAAAGGAAACUCUAAAACAGUUCCAAGAAAAAAUUGUAGUUCCACUCUUACUUAAAGAUAUGAAUAAAGAAUUGAACUCAAACUAGGUUGCUCCUGAAGGUUUUCAACUAAAACUUUCCUCUGACUCAAAGUCAUGCGAAAGGAUAUUCCCUUCCCCUCUGUGAAACUUCAGUUUAAUGCUUUCAAUUAGAUCUUCAUACUCCAAAGGGUAGCUGUUAUACAGAAUUAGAUCAAUUAAAUAUUUGCCAAUAUCUCACUACUCCCACAUCCAUAUAGGCCCAACAGUGCACAACACUACAACAUUUUACUCACUAUGCUCAUAAACCAUCAACAAAACCUCAAAAUAACAGUAGGUUCUUUUAUACAAAAUGGUUGACCUAGACAUCACUGUCAUGAUUUUUGCCAGUGAACUGCCAAAGGUACCAGAAAUUACCUUAUUCAAUAAUGACAUAUUCAAACAAACCAGUCACAAGGAUAUGAGAUGGAGGAAAUAUGAAACUUGACAGCACUACAACAUUUCACCUACUAUGUUAAAAAAAUCCUGCCUUUUCAUGCCUAUACACUAAUUAUUAAUCUGAUGUCUAUUGAUUCACAUAUAUUUCUCUAUCAAAAUCUAAAUCACCUGAUGAAGGUUUCCUUCUAUCAGUUGCAUAAUUACUAACAUAUCAAUUUUCAUAACAUAACAUAUUCCCAAUUUCUACUUCUUCCUCCCAAUUUCUAUUUUACAACCAAACCUAACAUUCUAUGCCUAUUUUUACUUGUUCAUGCGUACCCAAUCAAUUACCGUCUACUAUUUAUACACAUGGACUCAAAUUAAGAGCCACAUAUAAAUAUUCACAGUCAAUACAUACCUCAAUGUCGUAUUAAGGCUCCCGCAGACAACUGAUUGCUACGAAAUUGCGAGCAAAUAUGACCUCCAAAUAUAACUCUCCACAGAAUUCGCUACAGUUUAUCUCUGCUCACUUCACUCCAGCACCACUCAAAUGGUUGUAUUUUAACCUACAUGACAGCAAAUGACGACAACUUCUAACCUAACGGCGUAACUUAUUCAUCAAUUAAAUCCCCAGUUUGCGCCACAAUACCCGUAAUCU